This is a microRNA precursor of Macaca fascicularis (crab-eating macaque), 59 nucleotides long. Ensembl annotates it as microRNA 139. Its record names the gene MIR139. Lineage: Eukaryota; Metazoa; Chordata; Mammalia; Primates; Cercopithecidae. The record is from Ensembl.
UCUACAGUGCACGUGUCUCCAGUGUGGCUUGGAGGCUGGAGACGCGGCCCUGUUGGAGU